UAAAACCAAUAAACCAUAGUCCAAAGCUCAUCGGCCAUAAUGAGAAUCUAUAAAUUAAAGUAUAAACAGAAACAGUGUAGAAAUUAAAAAAAAAUGUCUACAUUAAUUAAACACAAAUCCAUCAGGGUACAUAUAAUCAGCUAAAUUUAGGUUUGUGUUUCUCAAUUUCUCAUGCUGCACGACUGCACGAAAAUGUUUAACAGUAUGUAACAAUCAUUUCUUCUAAAAGAGAUAGGAGCCAUGGCUCUAUCUACCGCAGUCUGCAGGUGCUUGCUUGCACUGAGAACCCUAACAAUUAUGUUGAAAUUGAAAGUAGCUAACUAGUAUGCAGUAUGCACCCAAAAGAAAAGGAUGAACCAAUGGCACUAAUUUACACUACACAUGAUCAUCAAACUCUGCAACAAUGUCACUUCUCAGAGUAUCCAUAAACUAAAACACCCUAAUUUCCCUGUAAUCCUAUCACCAUUAACCAUCAAAUGAUGAUCAAACGCAUUAACCUACCUUCCUUCCUUCCAAUAUUAUCUACAGCACUCAAAGUUCCACUCUGAAGUCUGAACAGAGUUUCUUUGUUAGAUUUAUAACCAAUCAAUAAAUGCCACGUACAUAAUAGUGGAUCUAAACAGUCUGGUAAGUGGUA
RNAcentral lists this long non-coding RNA (637 nucleotides) under Aquilegia coerulea. RNAcentral describes it as "long non-coding RNA (ACOE_LNC000616)". The record is from RNAcentral. Lineage: Eukaryota; Viridiplantae; Streptophyta; Magnoliopsida; Ranunculales; Ranunculaceae.